AUUAAGACGCCCAGAAGAUAACCGCGGUGUCUUUAUUACAAACCCGCAAGAGAAGAUGGCACGUGGCGGUGUUUAAAGCGCGGUUCAUAUAAUCCCCGGAUGUACUGUCAGCGGAUGACCAGAUGAUGUCAGACUCUUCAAGAAAGUAGACCGAAGUGCCUCGUGCUGAAAAACACCACGUGCAGCCUAAAGACGGCUAGUUUGGGGACUUCGUCUCCAAAUUCAGCUGCUUUCUCGCUGUUGCUGCGACUUUAACGUCAUAAACACGUCUUAAGCGUCGAUCAAGAUGGCGGAGAAAGCGUGUGCCGGGACGCAGCAUUCUGCCGUGUUUACUGAAAUAGGAGAGGAUGGUGUACAGCAGUCAGAAAGCAAAGUGAAGGGGUGGAGUCUGGACUCGAACUCGGGACGCCUUUAAUGCAAUUGGUGCACUAGGCUACUGACACCGACGUUAUCAGCCAUUUUGUUCCAGGAAUAUUAACCCAGCCAUCAAACCUGAUCUCCCGAGAAGAGCGCCACCUACAGCAUCGGAGAAAUGUGCGUUUACGAUCAGUGGGAUGGAUUUAGGAUGGAUUUUUUUUACACUCUCUGACACAAACUGGUUUAAGGUAAUAAAACAAGAUGGGCCUGCUUGAAGCGAAGACAU
This is a long non-coding RNA of Puntigrus tetrazona (Sumatra barb), 643 nucleotides long. RefSeq lists it as uncharacterized. NCBI's taxonomy places the organism in Eukaryota, Metazoa, Chordata, Actinopteri, Cypriniformes, Cyprinidae. The record is from RefSeq and is a predicted model, not a curated record. The transcript has 3 exons.